This is an RNA transcript of Carica papaya (papaya), 3155 nucleotides long. RefSeq lists it as uncharacterized. The record is from RefSeq and is a predicted model, not a curated record. NCBI's taxonomy places the organism in Eukaryota, Viridiplantae, Streptophyta, Magnoliopsida, Brassicales, Caricaceae.
GGAUCUCCGAUCUGGUUCAUAACGUCUUCCCCACGGAUCACAAAAUCCAGUCUGCACCUUUGUUUCCUCCUCCUAAAAUCCAAAGUCUCAACCCAUCAAAUGCAACCACAACAACAACAACAACAACAACAACAAAUCACAGGUGUCUCUAAUGGUAGUUGUCCAGGCAUCAAAGCUCAACCUUACAAAUCCUGCCUUUUCUCUUCCUUCUUCCUCCUCUCCACAAAUCUCUUCCCUUCUCUUUGAACCCACCUCUCUUUCUUUGGCUCUUAUGCACUCUGACUCUUCUCUCUCUCUCUAUCCUUCUUCCUCGCCUCUUUAUAUUUCUUCCCUCCCUCCCCCUCAAACCCUAAUCCCUCCUCCCUCAUCUUCUUCCACUUUCCUCCUCCUUCGCCCUCAAAAUCCUAACCCUAAUCUGAAUCCCACUAAUGGGUCGUCCCCGCGUGUUCUUUUUAUCGUGGGCGGUCCGCACAGCGGUGGCUCCCGGGUUCUGCUCCGGUUUUAUGCUCUGUGGAGGGAUAACAAGGGCUUUACCAGAGCUCGAGUUGUUGGCAAUCAUAGAGGGAUUGAAUUUGAUCAGAAACUUGGCGUUUUCUUGAAUGUUAAUCAUGGGAUUUCCAUCAAGAUUGCUGGGUCGAUCAAUUUUUUCACUUUGUAUUCUGUUUCGAGCUCCAAGAUUUGGGUUUUCGGGGUCAAAUUGUUGGACGAGGGUGAUACCGAUGGUGGAGUUGUAACGGUGAAGUUGAUCAAGUGUGCUGUGAUCGAGUGUUCUAGGCCGGUUUGGUCUAUUAGCGUCUCGUGUGGUUUUUUGAUUUUCGGGGAAGAGAAUGGAGUUAGGGUGUGGAGUUUGAGGAAUUUGGUGAAAGGGAAGGUGAGGAAAAUGAAGAGUCAUAUUAGUUUGAAUGGAAAAUUGGAGGGUAAAGGAAUGCGUUUGCCAAAUGGGGUGACGAUGGAUAGUGUUCAUGGACGUGGGUCGAAUUCAGAGAUCGGUUCCAAUGGUCAUUUGGACAGUAAGACUGGGAAGCAGGGUGUAUCUGUAAAGUGGAGGUCAGCUAAAUACAGACAAGAAUCUAGUGAAGGUGGUUCAUGUUUUGUGGCAUUUAAAGAGGAGAUUGUUAACUUGAAAUCUAAGACUUGGCCACUUAUGUCACUGAAGGCAAUUUCCACCCAAGCACUGUCUCCAAAACAGUUCUUGAUCCUGGACUCUGCUGGAGAUUUACACAUCUUGCAUGUGGCUAAUGCUGUUUCAGGAUCAAGCAUGACUUGUAGCAUGAGGCAGCUUCCUCACAUUAUGGAGGUGCAAAAGCUUGUGGUUCUUCCUGAAAUUUCCUUAAGAGCACAAACUUUUUGGGUAAUGGAUGCAUUCUAUUCCUUGCAUAUGGUUGCUCUACGUGAGGGUGAUGCUAUUGUUAAUGAAAAUGGUGGAAAUGAGAGGGAAGAGAAGCCAAUGCAAAUAUCAGUUGUUCAAGCAAUUUUUGCCGCUGAGAAGAUUCAAGAUGCUGUACCUAUUGCUGGAAAUGGUAUUUUGAUUCUGGGUCAAGGAAGCUUAUACGUGUAUGCAAUUUCCUGAAAUUGUUUGGCAAUCACAAUUUUUCAGAGACAUCUAUUCCUUGCCAGGUUAGAUGUUAUAUAACCUUUUGAAUGAGUUCCUGGUUCAAUGUUUUUGCACAAUGAUGGUCAUGCGUUAGUCCCUGAUUUGCUAACAUUUUGUUCAUCUUAAUGCUGCCAAAGUCAUGAGCUUCUGUUCUUUCCAUCUUACAGUGCACUAGAUUCUGGGAACAUUGAGCCAUUGAAGGUUCGUGUGUGCGUGUGCGUGUGCGUGUGCGUGUGUUAUGUGUGUGUUAAAAGAAGGUUUGUAUGGUUGGAAUUAAUUUAUUGUUGACAUCAGAGCAGCUUUAAUGUUUGACCUUUUGCAAUAUGUUAGCAUCCUAUCACCAGCAAUAAUCAUAAUUUUCAUAUUUAAUUCACAAUUUAACUGUUAUGGUUCCGAUUUAUGGAUCUUAUCAUAGGAUUUUGUUAUUAGUAUGGGCUCUUCAAAGAUAACCGAAUAAUCUCGAGUAAGAAAGUACUUAACAAUUUUCCUAGAUUUCUUAUUGUUUAAAAAUCUGUCAAAGAAAGACAGUAUCUACUUGUACAGGAGAAAGGAUAGUUGUCUAGAAGUUUUUUUCAGGAUUAACUACUCCCUUGUCCUUAUCUAGACUUAUUCCCUCUAAUACACAUGCCCAUGCUUAACACUUCAUUUUACAUACAACACAUAUUGACCUAUUCUCUCGAAUACACUUGUUCACCCACUGAACAAAUCAUUUGCUUUUUCUAAUAAACCAUAGUAUUGCCCAUAACAUUGAUGAACUUUACUCCGAUGUUAAAUGGGAAUGGAUUUCUAUUUCUAUUUGACUCGGUAGGAAUCACGAAUUCACUUGGCCAUAACUGAAAAUCAAAUUAGAAUAUAAUUUUUGGUCUAAUAUGGAUAAGUUACAAAUAUAAUUCAAACGUCCUCUUAUUUUUUAGGCAAUGACAUUAUUAUACUUUUUUAUUGAAAAUUGUAAAAGCUAGAUCAGGUUCUUAACCCUUAUGGUUACUCCAACUAAGUGAAUUUAGUUGUCAUGAAAUAUUCCAACAUUAAAAUUGAUAAUGUGCAGAUCCCUUUUGGGCUCUUUUCUUUAUUUUCUCUCCUUUCUCACACCUUAUUACCAACCCAACACCGUCCUCAUCUUUCUUUUCCUUGGCUAAAUUGCCACUAGUCACCAAAUGCACCAGAAAGCAUGGUGUAGCUGCACUCUUCAUCAAAAUCAAACAGCUCGCUAGCUACCUCCUCUGACACCAAAAGCCACCAGAAAUUCCCUCACCCCUUUCCUAGUCGCACCCAUCCAUCAUCUUUCACCUCUGUUUCACAUUCUGGGUUUUAUGUUUGAAGAAAAAACAGGGAGAAUGGCAAGAGCAUGAGGGUAAUCACUUGAAGGAGUUGAACUGUGAGUGAAGGAAUAGAGAAAGAGCAUGAGGGAAAUCACUUAUAGAAUUGAACUGUGAGUGAAGGAAUAGAGAAAAAGCAGCUGAGAGCUGGGGAUUUUCCUAUAUUUUUGUGUAUGGGUUUGCGGGACAGAGCAUGGAGCAUGGAGAUAGGACAGGAGAGUCACUGGUAGCUUAACAGUAACGAA